This 440-nucleotide ribosomal RNA is filed under the name uncultured korarchaeote. RNAcentral's name for it is "bacterial SSU rRNA". It matches the Rfam family "Archaeal small subunit ribosomal RNA", at positions 921 to 1357 of the family's 1478-position model. The record is from RNAcentral. Lineage: Archaea; Thermoproteati; Thermoproteota.
GGAAUCUUACCGGGGGCGACAGCAGGAUGAAGGUCAGGCUGAAGACCUUACCAGACGCGCUGAGGGGUGGUGCAUGGCCGUCGCCAGCUCGUGCCGUGAGGUGUCCUGUUAAGUCAGGCAACGAGCGAGACCCCCGCCCCUAGUUGCCAGCGGCCUCCUUCGGGAGGGACCGGGCAAACUAGGGGGACCGCCUCCGAAGAGGAGGAGGAAGGUGGGGGCUACGGCAGGUCAGUAUGCCCCUAAUCCCCCGGGCCGCACGCGGGCUGCAAUGGGCGGGACAGCGGGAUGCGACCCCGAGAGGGGGAGCUAAUCCCUCAAACCCGCUCGUAGUUGGGAUCGAGGGCUGCAACUCGCCCUCGUGAACCCGGAAUCCCUAGUAACCGCGGUUCUCCAUACCGCGGUGAAUACGUCCCUGCCCCUUGCACACACCGCCCGUCAAG